RNAcentral lists this long non-coding RNA (605 nucleotides) under Junco hyemalis (dark-eyed junco). Its description in RNAcentral is "lncRNA (ENSJHYG00000004378.1)". Lineage: Eukaryota; Metazoa; Chordata; Aves; Passeriformes; Passerellidae. The record is from RNAcentral.
AUCAAAUAAAGAAAAACAAUUUCUAGAAUUAAAAGAAAUACACACAAACCCCAGCAACACUGCUCUAUAUCUUAAAUGUGUGUCUUUGUAGUUUAAAACAUCAAACCUCAUUACAGAACAAUGGAUGAGAUUGUUGGUAAUUAUGGCUUAGAAGAAAGAUUUUAACUUUCCUGGCAUAAAAAGCACCUUUCUUUUCUUUUUUUUUUUUCUUUUUUCUUUUUUUUUUUUUUACCUUGCUUUUUUUCACAGCCUCAGCUGAAAUUGUUGAGGGGGCAAAGGGAGGGGAAUUUCUGGGACCUGAUUAGGGAGCGGAACUGACCAUUACACCAGUCCCAUUCCUCCACAGAGGAGUGUCUGAUCUUACAGGAGGCCAUCAGCUGGAGCUGGGGAUUUGACUUAGAAAAGAUCCUCCAUUGCCAUCAGGAGUCUGAAAGUGGUCAGAGAAGUUACACCCAACACAGAAGGUGUGUCUGAAUGUCCAGGAAGUCAAAUACAGCUCGAAAGGUUAAUUAUGGAAAAUCAUGGGUAUUCAGGUACACAGAGAAAUGGCUGUCGCUUCCAAAUGACUGGAGGUAGGAGGAGAAGAAUGUUUUCCACCCAGGAAU